RNAcentral lists this ribosomal RNA (796 nucleotides) under Ophionectria trichospora. Its description in RNAcentral is "mitochondrial SSU rRNA". It matches the Rfam family "Bacterial small subunit ribosomal RNA", at positions 370 to 1113 of the family's 1533-position model. The record is from RNAcentral. Lineage: Eukaryota; Fungi; Ascomycota; Sordariomycetes; Hypocreales; Nectriaceae.
AAUGGCCUAACGGCUGAACUGGCAACUUGGAGAAGUGGCAAGUCUUAUUCUUUAUAAUAUUUAUAAUAGUAUAAGAUUGUAUUAGGAUUGAAUGAAGCUUUGUUUAUAUAUUGAUAAAGACAGUAUAUAUAUCGUGUCUUGACUAAUUGCGUGCCAGCAGUCGCGGUAAUACGUAAGAGACUAGUGUUAUUCAUCUUAAUUAGGUUUAAAGGGUACCCAGACGGUCAUUAUAGCUUCAAAAAUGUUAGUACAUGACUAGAGUUUUAUAUAAGAGGGCAGUACUUGAGGAGGAGAGAUGAAAUUCUGUGAUCCCAAAGGGACUCUGAAAAGGCGAAGGCAGCCCUUUAUGUAUUAACUGACGUUGAAGGACGAAGGCACAGAGAACAAACAGGAUUAGAUACCCUAAUAGUCUUUGCAGUAAAUGAUGAAUGCCAUAGGUUAGGAAGGGUUAACCUUUAAGGGUAUUAGGACAAAGUUUAGGGAAUUGUUCCCCCAUAAAGCUAUGUAUUAGUGCACCGCUAGGUGAUAGUUAAUACACAUAGAACCCCCCAAAAUCUUAGUCUAUAAAUGAAAGUGUAAGCAUUUCACCUCAAGAGUAAUGUGGCAACGCAGGAACUGAAAUCACUAGACCGUUUCUGACACCAGUAGUGAAGUAUGUUGUUUAAUUCGAUGACCCACGAAAAACCUUACCACAAUUUGAAUAAUAUAUUAAAUAUAUUACAGGAGUUGCACGGCUGUUUUCAGUUAAUGUUGUGAAGCUGUGGUUUCCAUGAAAUUAACGUAAUCCCCGGUUUUA